UAUCUCUGUAGAGUCUGCAUAUCAAUAAGCGGAGGAAAAGAAACUAACUAGGAUUCCCUCAGUAACGGCGAGUGAAGCGGGAAGAGCUCAAAUUUGAAAUCUUCAAGGUUCUACCUUGACGAAUUGUAGUUUAAAGAAGUGUUUUCUGUUGAAGUUUUGGUAAAAGUUCUUUGGAAUAGGACAUCAUAGAGGGUGAGAAUCCCGUAUUUGACCAGUUAUUUUCCAGCUGUGUGAUACACUUUCAAAGAGUCGGAUUGUUUGGGAAUGCAGUCCAAAAUGGGUGGUAAAUUUCAUCUAAAGCUAAAUAUUGGCGAGAGACCGAUAGCGAACAAGUACCGUGAGGGAAAGAUGAAAAGAACUUUGAAAAGAGAGUUAAACAGUACGUGAAAUUGUCAAAAGGGAAGCGUUUGACACCAGUGUUGUUUCUACGAAAAUCAAUUUAUGAUGGCUUGAUGCUAAGCUUUAAGACUUUAUCCGCUUGUUGUUUAGUUUUCUUGUCUUUGUGAAUGCACCUUUCGUGGAACAAGUCUACAUCAAUUUCUUUUGCUGUAAAAGGGUAAGAGGAAGGUGGCUUCGGCUUCGGUUGAAGUGUUUAUAGCCUUUUAUCUCUGCAGUCGGAGAGAUUGAGGUCUGCAGCGUAGACUCUUCGGGGUUAGAUACGUCGGUGCUAAGCUAUAGCUUUUCAUAGACAACUUGUUGACUAUGUUUAGUCAUGUGGCUUACCCGCUGGCGCUAUUUUACCUACGCUUAGGAUGUUGAGUCAUCACACAUCUCU
RNAcentral lists this ribosomal RNA (775 nucleotides) under uncultured Neocallimastigales. Its description in RNAcentral is "partial large subunit ribosomal RNA". It matches the Rfam family "Eukaryotic large subunit ribosomal RNA", at positions 24 to 618 of the family's 3401-position model. Lineage: Eukaryota; Fungi; Neocallimastigomycota; Neocallimastigomycetes; Neocallimastigales. The record is from RNAcentral.